ACUGAAUAGAUACCCUGGUAGUCCACGCCGUAAACGAUGAGAACUAGCUGUCGGGGGCCUUAGGCUUUCGGUGGCGCAGCUAAACGCAUUAAGUUCUCCGCCUGGGGAGUACGGCCGCAAGGUUAAAACUCAAAGAAAUUGACGGGGGCCGUGCACAAGCGGUGGAGCAUGUGGUUUAAAUUCGAAGCAACGCGCAGAACCUUACCAGCGUUUGACAUCCUCAUCGCGGAUUCCAGAGAUGGUUUCCUUCAGUUCGGCUGGAUGAGUGACAGGUGCUGCAUGGCUGUCGUCAGCUCGUGUCGUGAGAUGUUGGGUUAAGUCCCGCAACGAGCGCAACCCUCGUCUUUAGUUGCCAUCAUUUAGUUGGGCACUCUAAAGAAACCGCCGGUGAUAAGCCGGAGGAAGGUGGGGAUGACGUCAAGUCCUCAUGGCCCUUACGCGCUGGGCUACACACGUGCUACAAUGGCGGUGACAGUGGGCAGCAAUCCCGCGAGGGGUGAGCUAAUCUCCAAAAGCCGUCUCAGUUCGGA
RNAcentral lists this ribosomal RNA (530 nucleotides) under uncultured bacterium. RNAcentral describes it as "bacterial SSU rRNA". It matches the Rfam family "Bacterial small subunit ribosomal RNA", at positions 772 to 1297 of the family's 1533-position model. The record is from RNAcentral.